CGCUACCAUCAGAAACCGAAGGAAGACGCGAAGACAAAAACGAGAUAAAAAACGGGGAACCGUUGUAAUCGGUAAUUUUCGAAAAGUAAACGAAAGAAGCUCACGAACAUGGCAGUGGAAGUCGACGAGAAGGACCUGAAAGCUGCCGGCGCCGAGCUGUUGACUGAUGACGGUCGCCGUGGACUGCGUAUCCAUGGCUGGGAGAUCUUUUCCAGCAAGGGCUCCAUUCUCAACUCCUCCACUCUUCUACAAUGGGAACAAAAGCUUCAGACAUCUCACUUACCAGAGAUGGUUUUUGGGGACAGUUCUUUAGUUCUUAAACAUGAGAAUAGUGGCACCAAAAUCUAUUUCAAUGCAUUUGAUGCCCUUACUGGCUGGAAGCAGGAAGCUUUGCCACCAGUAGAAGUUCCUGCGGCCGAAAAAUGGAAAUUCAGAAGCAAACCGUCCCAGCAGGUGAUACUAGAUUACGACUAUACAUUCACUACACCAUAUUGUGGAAGUGAAACAAUCGAGGUAGACUCCAAGAAGAAUGAAAGUGGGGAAAUCUUGGCGACAAGCUCAAGCCUCUGUUGGGGGGACUGCAAGGAGCAAAUUGAUGUGGUUUCCCUGUCAUCAAAAGAGCCUAUUCUUUUCUAUGAUGAGGUAGUCUUGUAUGAAGAUGAACUUGCUGAUAAUGGAGUGUCCCUUUUAACUGUGAAAGUGAGAGUCAUGCCCAGUUGUUGGUUUCUUCUUUUGCGAUUCUGGCUUAGAGUUGACGGAGUCUUGAUGAGAUUAAGGGACACUCGCAUGCAUUGCGCUUUUGGUGAUUGCACUGGCCCUGUCAUUCUUCGAGAAAGCUGCUGGAGAGAAGCCACCUUUCAGUCUAUCUCUGCUAAAGGUUAUCCUUCUGAUUCUGCAGCAUAUAGUGAUCCAAGCAUCAUCAGCCAGAGGCUUUCUGUGAUCAUGCAUAAGACACAAAAGCUCCAAGUCCAUGGUCAUUUGUAAAGCUGAAGGUAAUCUUGAUGCAAAAUGAUCUAUAUUGUUACCAAGUUGUGGUCAUAUAGAAUUCAGUUCUUUCAGGUGGAUUACAUUUGUACAUGCUUUUUUCCCCCAUGUUAAUUCAGUAAGCUGUUUUGAUGAAUUCAUUUGUGGAGAGAAAAAUUGACAAAAGUGAUUGUGCAAACUAAGAAUUAAACUAAAAUGCCUUACUUUUAUGUUUAUAUUUAUUUCAUGGUUUCCAUGGCAUUGACAGAAAUAAAUGCAAAAACACAACUAGGAAUACAUAAUGUCCUUGGAGAAACUGAAGUGUUUAUGAAGCAUUUAGAUAACAUCUAAGAAAUAGAAGUGUUGGAAGAGAAAUUGGAAUUUGUUAGUGUGUAAGAGGAG
Molecule: unclassified non-coding RNA, 1365 nt
Filed under: Hevea brasiliensis (rubber tree)
Lineage: Eukaryota; Viridiplantae; Streptophyta; Magnoliopsida; Malpighiales; Euphorbiaceae
Source: RNAcentral